Molecule: RNA transcript, 661 nt
Organism: Zingiber officinale
Lineage: Eukaryota; Viridiplantae; Streptophyta; Magnoliopsida; Zingiberales; Zingiberaceae
Exons: 4
Source: RefSeq, a predicted model, not a curated record
ACAGAUAUAAUCCUUGCAAAAUAUGGCAUCAUUGCAUCUUUGCCCUUUUUGAUCUUCUGUAUUACUGAAUCGACAUUUUAUUUAUUAAGCCUUUGAGAAUCCUGUUAACUCUGUGAUGGAGAAUACAGAUUAUGCUUAGGAACUUGCCCUAUUUUUCAGUUGCAUGACUUUCUCAUUUUUGACUUAACUACUCAUGUCGUCCUUUUUCUCUUGUUCACAGCAAUGUUUAGGACAGUUGAACUUCAGAAGACUUCAAACAACAUCAGUAGGAUAAUUGAUGCUAACUGGAAUGAACAUAUGAAAACUUAUGUUGAAGCAGGGUGCAAACAACAGUCACAAAGUGUUCAAAAUAUGUAUAAUUAAGCAGCAACCAAGAGUGCUACGGCUUUGGAUGACUCUUUUUGUGAAGAAAUGUUAAAAGAUAUUUCCUUUGAGGAAGAAAAGGAACCAUUGCCCAAGCAUCCUCAAGAUACAUCAAUAUCAGAAGUCAUGCUAAUGAAGAUCAUCAGUGAUAUGUUGAAACUCGACUAUGCCAUGCAGAAAAAUAUUGUUUUGAACUUGAACAUUGGGACAAGUGUAUCUGAACUAGAAGGCUAUUGUCUCAUGUGGAAUCUGCAUCCAUACAUAGAUGAUGACAUUAUACAUCGGGCAUGGCGAUAUG